AUGUUCAGAUCCAAGGUCCAGGAGAUGAUCCUCAGGAGGAGGUCCAGGUCCAUGAACGGCGCCGCAUGCGCGCAGCACGCCGGCAACUCUUCCACGGCCCCGUGCGACGCCGGCGGCAAGGCUGCUGCUACUGUUGCUUUUGCUGCUCGCGCGCCGUUGUUCGCCGCGCCGAGGCUGCUUCACUCGUCGUCGCUCCCUGCCGGCGACCGCGCCGCGGUCAUCACUGGGAGCCCCGCGCGGGACUCCGAGACGACGGCCGCCUACGCCAUGAGCCCGACCUCCGUGCUGGACGCAUCAGCGGCCUUCGGCUCGACCGUGGACGCCGGCGGGGGCAAGCGCCGGCCGUGGUGCGACGGGUGCGCGGGCCCGCACGGGCUCGCCGACGUGCUCGACUGCGCCCACGAGGCCCAGCGGAGGAAGAGCGUCCUCCGGAGCACCGUCAGAGCGCAGGCGCCGGCUCUUGUCAGGUCGUGCUCCCUGGACCGGCGCGUGGAGUUCGGCGUCAAGAACAAGAGCUCAUGGCUGCCGCUGCGCGCCGCCCGCGCGGGGGCGGCCGAGGAGUCGGAGGACGGACCGUCGUCCGAGGACUACACCUGCGUCAUCUCCCGCGGGCCCAACCCGCGGACGGUGCACAUCUUCGGCGACCGCGUCGUGGAUUUAUCCGCUUGCAGGUGA
This 675-nucleotide ribosomal RNA is filed under the name Triticum aestivum (bread wheat). RNAcentral's name for it is "partial small subunit ribosomal RNA". The record is from RNAcentral. Lineage: Eukaryota; Viridiplantae; Streptophyta; Magnoliopsida; Poales; Poaceae.